This 74-nucleotide transfer RNA is filed under the name Chloroflexaceae bacterium. RNAcentral's name for it is "tRNA-Gln". It matches the Rfam family "tRNA". From Rfam's summary of the family: Transfer RNA (tRNA) molecules are approximately 80 nucleotides in length. Their secondary structure includes four short double-helical elements and three loops (D, anti-codon, and T loops). Lineage: Bacteria; Bacillati; Chloroflexota; Chloroflexia; Chloroflexales; Chloroflexaceae. The record is from RNAcentral.
UGGGGGGUCGUCUAACGGCAGGAUACCCGGCUUUGACCCGGCUGAUGAGGGUUCGAGUCCUUCGCCCCCAGCCA